RNAcentral lists this ribosomal RNA (268 nucleotides) under uncultured bacterium. RNAcentral describes it as "partial 16S ribosomal RNA". It matches the Rfam family "Bacterial small subunit ribosomal RNA", at positions 88 to 354 of the family's 1533-position model. The record is from RNAcentral.
CCGGCGACCGGCGCACGGGUGAGUAACACGUAUGCAACCUGGCCGUGACAGAUGGAUAACCGGGAGAAAUCCCGCCUAAUACAGCAUGACGCCGCGGGAGGACAUCCUCCCGCGGCCAAAGGGGCGACCCGGUCACGGAUGGGCAUGCGGCGCAUUAGGUAGUUGGUGGGGCAACGGCCCACCAAGCCGGCGAUGCGUAGGGGUUCUGAGAGGAAGGUCCCCCACAUUGGAACUGAGACACGGUCCGAACUCCUACGGGAGGCAGCAG